UUGAACUCACCGUAUAGUCUGUUUACAUGUAUUGAUUGAUAUAACUUUCUCCGACUUUCUAGGACGUGUUUUAUGCCACUUUUUCUGUCUCAUUUUGUCCACCACACUUUUAACGUUGUGCAUGAAUGCACAGAGAAGUGAGGCAAACCGGGCGAACUUAGCCAGGUGGGUGAUGCAACGUUCCAACAUCCUUGCAGAGACAAGUGUCACAUCGCUCCUCCUCGUAAGACGCUGCUCAUCGAGAUGACAGCCGUGUGUCACUUGAAGGGUUUGGCGCUGACGUGUCUCUGACCCAGACUGCGGCGACUUGGUCGCGUGGUUAUGCGGAGGUCGUUCUCCCGAGAUGCAGACGGAAAAAUCCGGAGACAGCGUGCAGACAGGGCGACCUUUUGGUCCAUGCCGCUGACCUCCAUGCAAACCAUUCGAGAUUUAAUCCGGUCCAACGGGCCCUGGAGGAUGGGGCCCGAGUAGCGAUCCUUGACUGGAGCGCCACCUGUAGUAUCAGUCAUAAUCUCAGAGGAUUACGUGAGUGCAGAGUGACGCGGCGAGGCAAUAUCAAUAAUAUCACAGUUUGUGCUGCCAUAGCAGACGCUGCGAUGAUUGCCUUUCCCCACAGAGACGAUAAAUUCAGUUACAUUUUAAUCUCCCACCCAGUCUAAGCGCAGCGACUUGCUGUAUCUAAAUGAAAUGAAGUGCUCCCCUCCCACCGCUGUGACACACAAUGGAACAUAUCUGACAGAGGAGUAAUUGGUGGAAAUGAAUGUUGUGUUCCGUGUGCACGGGCUUAUUUAUUCCGUAUAAAAACAAACGCAAUUAUUCAUAAGCAGAGGACUGUAACAACACCGAUGCAAGCUGCACCUGAGGGACUUUGACAUAACCAAAGCGGCUUUUCAUUGAGAUGUAAACUCCCAGAUAAACUGUUAUUUAAUUGAGUGUAAAGCCUGGAAUAUACUCUCGUGCCGCGUAGCUAGCGUAGGCCACGUUGUCUUGUCCCCUCCCCCUGCUUAGCCUCCUGCGAGGCUUAUGUGCACCCCCAAAAAAUCCUAGGUUGGCGCCACCGGCGACGCAGAACUACCAGUACAACAUAGUCUGAAUACCCCACGUUAGGAAUCCAUCCAUCUAUCCAUCCAUUUUCCUCCACUUAUCCGAGGUCGGGUCGCGGGGGCAGCAGCCUAAGCAGGGAAACCCAAUCUAAUCCAAUCCAACCCACUUUAUUUAUAUAGCACAUUUAAACAACAACAAUUUUUCCAAAGUGCUGCACAACAAUAUUAAAAACAAUAUUCAAAUAUUAUCCUUAGCUCCACCAAUGACUGAAUAAAAACAAAAAAUAAAUGAAUAUAAAACGAACAUAAAAACAAUAUAUAGACCAAUAACAACAAUAGACCCAGGACACGUUGGGAAGACUAUGUCUCCCGGCAGGCCUGGGAACGCCUCGGGAUCCCCCGGGAAGAGCUGGACGAAGUGGCUGGGGA
This is a long non-coding RNA of Entelurus aequoreus (snake pipefish), 1472 nucleotides long. RefSeq lists it as uncharacterized. The transcript is spliced from 4 exons. NCBI's taxonomy places the organism in Eukaryota, Metazoa, Chordata, Actinopteri, Syngnathiformes, Syngnathidae. The record is from RefSeq and is a predicted model, not a curated record.